This is a non-coding RNA of Pelobates cultripes (western spadefoot toad), 399 nucleotides long. Lineage: Eukaryota; Metazoa; Chordata; Amphibia; Anura; Pelobatidae. The record is from the annotation of a GenBank genome assembly.
AUUUUGGCUCAGCCACAUCCGCUUCUGAAGAGCUCUCAGCCAAUCAAUGAGUAUCUGCGCAGAGAAUUAUCAUUAUCAAGCUUGGAAUUAUUCCAUCUUGACUAGCGAGAGCUGCUGGAUAUGGUGUUACACUCUUUCUUUUACUGUUUGUAAGUAAUUUAUUUAGCCCAGCUACGUUAAACACCAGUAAGUCUUCUUCCUGAAUACAUCACAGGGAGUUUGGAUGGUGUUUCCCACCACCCUGAAGAAAGCAAUGUUUAUCCAUAAGAUCAAUAGGUCUUGAUAGGUUUUCAAGAAGAUGCAGAACUAUGUGUGGCUCAACUUCAGGGAAAAUUCUGCUCACAGCUGGAAUACCAAAUAUUAACCAUUGCUACUCUAGAUAUAAAACAGAAAAUAGAU